This 751-nucleotide ribosomal RNA is filed under the name uncultured archaeon. RNAcentral describes it as "bacterial SSU rRNA". It matches the Rfam family "Archaeal small subunit ribosomal RNA", at positions 1 to 762 of the family's 1478-position model. The record is from RNAcentral.
UCCGGUUGAUCCCGCCGGACCCGACUGCUAUCAGAAUAGGACUAAGCCAUGCGAGUCAACGUAGCAAUACGUGGCAUACGGCUCAGUAACACGUAGUCAACAUGCCCAGGGGACGUGGAUAACCUCGGGAAACUGAGGAUAAACCGCGAUAGGUCAUAGUAUCUGGAAUGAUUUAUGGCUUAAAUCUAUAUGGCCUCUGGAUUGGACUGCGGCCGAUCAGGCUGUUGGUGAGGUAAUGGCCCACCAAACCUAAAACCGGUACGGGCUCUGAGAGGAGAAGCCCGGAGAUGGGCACUGAGACAAGGGCCCAGGCCCUAUGGGGCGCAGCAGGCCCGAAAACUCUGCAAUAAGCGAAAGCUUGACAGGGUUAUUCUGAGUGAUUUCCGCUAAGGAAAUCUUUUGGCACCUCUAAAAAUGGUGCAGAAUAAGGGGUGGGCAAGCCUGGUGUCAGCCGCCGCGGUAAUACCAGCACCCCGAGUGGUCGGGACGAUUAUUGGGCCUAAAGCAUCCGUAGCCGGUUCUACAAGUCUUCCGUUAAAUCCACCUGCUCAACAGAUGGGCUGCGGAGGACACUAUAGAGCUAGGAGGCGGGAGAGGCAAGCGGUACUCAGUGGGUAGGGGUAAAAUCCGUUGAUCCAUUGAAGACCACCAGUGGCGAAGGCGGCUUGCCAGAACGCACUCGACGGUGAGGGAUGAAAGCUGGGGGAGCAAACCGGAUUAGAUACCCGGGUAGUCCCAGCUGUAAACGAUG